UUUUUUUUUUAGAGUAAAUGCUUUGUUUCCACCUUGAAUUAUACAUGAAAUUGUUGAGACACACCCAAAUUUUAGGAGGGUCUUAUUACUCCGGACUAAUUAAAAUCAUAUUUUUGGCAACCUUAGUACCUACGUGGCACAUCAGUUAAUCCUGAAGGUCCACGUAGGCCCCAUAGGCACUAUAAUUGCCAAAAAUACAGUUUUAAUUAUUUCAGGAGGAUAAUAGGACCCUCCUAAAGUUCGGGUGUGUCUCAUUUGAAUUAUUAUCUAACGGUAAUUGACUUUUAAUUUAAGGACUUUACAUGAAAAUCUUGCUAAUGCCCUCUUUAUGCAUGAAGUUCUUUUGUGAAAUAUAUGUUAUGAUUGAAGAAACGAAUUUGUUUGUAAUUUGAGGUAAGUUUUUUUGACAAUUUAUUCUAAUGUCAAUUAUUAUUUUCUGAUAAUGUUACUUUUUCAUAGAUAAUUUCAUUGAUUGAUGAGAGACACACGUGCACGUGUAAUAAAAUAGUAUUUUACAUACUUUUUAAUAUGAGGAAAUAUUUAUACUGGAUUUAGAAUCGGAUAUAGAGCCAGAAUUUUCACAAAGCAAAUUUAAAAUUUAAAGAAAAAUUAAUCAAAUAAGAUUCGACAUCUAAUAUANNNNNNNNNNNNNNNNNNNNNNNNNNNNNNNNNNNNNNNNUAUAUAUAUAUAUAUAUAUAUAUAUAUAAUUUUAAUAAUGUAUAAAUAAUAGUAUAAUUUUCCAAGAGAUUUGGUAAACCCCAUUCCAAAGGUCACUCCGCCCCUGUUUAGAAUAUAUUCCAAAAUUCAUAUAUGGGGGUAAAAACUUACCUAAGGAUUCGGUGUUUACAAUAUAAAUCAUAUUGAUAAACAAUAAAUACUUACUUUCAUUGAAUGUCUACCUAAAAUCAACAAAUACAUAAUAUGUAUUGAAAUAUAUAUACACACACUGUUGGGUUCAAAAGACGUUAUGCAGAAGUUAUUAGUUGCAAACAAUUGUGGUGAUAAUUCGGAAGACACAUAAAACAAUACUAAAAAGCUUAAUGUUAUUAUAUUAUUUGGCCAAUUGACCUACAUAUAAAACUUAAUAUUAAAAAUAUAAAAACUAAUGAGAGGCAAAAUCUCCCCUAAAUAAGGACUCUUUAAAGACUACAUUGUGGAUACUAUUGUAUUAUUGUAUGAGAAGAGGGAUCUUCAUAGAUGAUCAAAAUAAGAGGUUUGCCAAAUAUAAAAAAGCUCUAUAUUUUUUCUUUCAAGAAAAAUAAAAGUAAUUAUGGUAACUUUAAUUUUCUUUCCAAGAAAAAGUAAAACUUAAUUUUGGCAAGAAAAUUAGGGCAAAAAACCUCACAAAUCUCCCAUUUUUUGCUUGAUUUUCUUCACCCGAUCCGCCUUUUUCACAUCUUUGAUCUUUGUUAUUCAUAUUGUUUCAACAUUGCUGCUUGACAUGUUUAAAAAUGGAGUUUUUGGAUUAAAAAUAUAUGAGCCCUUUGUAGAGUUAAAAGUGAACUUUAUUUUUAAAUUGUAGAAAAUAUGAUUGUCAAUUAUCUCCACAUGUAGCUUUUGGACAUAUAUCUUGAUUAUCAUCAAAUUGAUUGCAAAUUGAUUAGAACCGUCUUGGACUUGUCUUCAACCUCGUUUUACCAAACCAUUAGAUCUUUGAACCGUAGGCUCUGAUACCACUUGUUGGGUUCAAAAUCGAGAGAACGUUAUGCGGAAGCUAUUAGUUGCAAAUCAUUGUGGUAACAAUUUAGAAGACACAUAAAACAAUACUGAAAAGCUUAAUAUUAUUAUAUUAUUUGGCCAAUUGGCCUACAUAUAAAACAUAAUAUUAAAAACAUAAAAACUAAUGAGAGACAAAAUCUCCCCUAAACAAAAACUUUUAAAGACUACAUUGUGGAUGUUACUGUGUUAUUGUAUGAUAAGAGGGAUCUUCUAUUUAUAGAUAUUAAAACCUUUUAGAAAAAGGUUUGCCAAAUAUGAAAGAGUUUUAUAUUUUCUUUUCAAGAAAAAUAAAAAUAAUUAUGGUAACUUUUAGUAAAAUUUAAUUUUGGCAAGAAAAUCAGGGAAAAAAACUUAACACACACUUAUAUACUUUAUUAGAUCAGUUAACUAUAGUGCAUGUAAAUUAUUGCAUAUAAUGUGACAAACAUAUUUAGCAUAAGAUCAGACAAAUCAAAAGAAUUGAUCAACAACAUCAUAAAGUUAAAAAUUUAAAUAAAAGUCUGAAUAAAGUUAAUUUUUUAUACAAAAUUUAAGAAUCGUGAAUAUGAGACUAAUUACAUUGUUGUUGGGUACUAUGUAGUUUUGAUGAUUGACAAACUGACACAUGAAUGAAACAUGUUACUUGAACUAGUCCACGCAUAGGAAAGCAGAUUUCCAAUUUCACUGAUAGAUGCAAACAAGAUUUCUUAAAGACAAGAACGAAUAAGCAAGCCUAAUUCUGAUAUACUCAAGCUACUGAUGAUGUGGGGAAUAUAACAAGUUGAAUUUGAUUCAAACACUUAAUGAUAAGGGAAAGCAAUUUGAGUUGAAAAAGGAGUCCUACGUGAAGAAGGAGUUUCACUUCUGAGUAUAUCUUGAAGAGUCCUAUGUAUGCGAGGAGAAAGAUUCUAAUAAAUAAGCAUGUGCUGAUUUAAAAGACUUGAAAUUUUACUACAACACUAAGGAGACAAGAGUUGGAAUUAAAGAAAGAGUCUCACUUGAAGUAUAACUCUAUGUAAUGAGAGUUUUGAUUAAAGUGGGAUUUUAAAAUAAAGAAUGACUCUUUGGAGAGUUGUGCUUAAAUAAAAGAUGCAUCAUUCAGAGUAAUUCACACACUUACAAAGCAGAAAAGCACAAUCGACAGAUUGACUUCACAAAGUGCUACUCAAUCACUGAAGAAACACAUUGAAGAACCUGGUCCUAAGUAUAGAAUCCAGCUAAGAGUUUUAGCGUUGAUUUUUAGAGUUGUUCAUUGUGUUUGAAUUAUUGAUGUAAUAUUAGUUUCAGUGUGUUAUAAACUGAAUUAGGAGCUAGUCUUUGAGUUGGGGAAAAUUCAGAGACUUUGGAAAUGCAUACCUUGAGAGGUGUGUGUGUAGUUAGGAAUUAGAGUUUAUAAUUCUUAGUUGUUGAGUCAAAGGAAUUAGAGUUUAUAAUUCCUAGUUGUUGAAUUAUAGGGAUUACAGUUUAUAAUUCCUAUUUGUUGGUUACAAGAGUUUUGUAAUCAAUCGUUGUUGAGGCUCAGAGUUAUUUAGUGAAGUUGGGGUUAAAUCCUGUAGAGGUACAGAUCAUGAUUUUUUUACACCUUUUUGAGAUGGGUGUUUUCCACGUAAAAAUCAUUGUGUUCUUACUUUCUGUUUUACUGCUUCCUUGGAACACGUCAAUGGAACACGUCAGGCAACCCGUUCCAUCGAUAAGCAAUAGUUAGCCGAAAAUAAGAUAAUUAGUAGGGUACGAACUCUAACAAGUGGUAUCAGAGCGUGAUUGUCUUAAAAAGGCCUAGCACCUAAGACAAAGAUCAAUAUGAUGAAUUCCGCACCACCUACUGGUCACAGUGAAGGUAAAUCCACUAUUAGACCUCCACUCUUUGAUGGUUCUUACUUCAUUUGAUGGAAAGCUAGGAUGAAAACAUUCAUUCAAGGGGAAAACUACGAGUUAUAGAAUAGGAUAACUGAUGGUCCUACUAUUCCAAUGAAGUUAAAAGAUGGGAAACUGGUCAAGAAAGUAAGAAGUGAAUUCACUCCUGAUGAGUUAUUGGCAUUAAAGAAAAAUGCUAAGACCAAAAACAUUUUGGUAUGUGGAUUAGGACCUACUGAAUACAAAAGGGUAUCAACAUGAACCACUGCUAAGCAAAUUUGAGAUGCUCUAGUAAAUGCUCAUGAAGGCACAUCUCAAGUACGAAAAUUCAGAAUUUCCCUUCUUUUCACUGAGUAUGAGGCAUUUAAGAUAAAGGAGAAUAAAACCUUGCAUGGGAUGAUGACAAGGCUUACUGCCUUAACAAAUGAGUUGACCUCCUUAGGAAAAGCUAUAUCUGAAGAAGAACAAGUCGAUAAGGUACUGAGGGUAUUACCAAAAUCAAAGUGGAAUGUUAAGGUGACUACAAUCAGCAAAGAAAAUAAGGAUCUUGUACGCAUGACCCUAGAUGAAUUAGUGGAGAAUUUGAGAAUUUAUGAAAUGGAAAUUUAUGGAACAAAAGUUCUAGAAGCCCCAAAGGAUACCUUAACUCUGAAGGCAUCUUACAGUGAUGAAGAAAUUGAACUUGAUAGAAUAAGUUGCCUUUAUAGGUAAGAACUUCAGCAAAUUCCUCAAAAAGAAGAAGGGAACAGGUAGCAAAAAAUGGUCAAAUGACAAUCUAAAUGGAUGCUACAAGUAUGGUAAGACUGAUCAUCAUAUCAAGGAUUGUCCUGCCUGGGAAAUACAAUGGAGAAAGGAAAGGGAUGAAAAGAAAUUGAAAGAAAAAAACCAAAAAGAGGAAAGAAUAUGCAAUGGUAGCAGCUUGGGGAUUUGACUCAGAUGAUGAUGAAGUUGAUGAAGCAGUACUCAUGGCUCUUGGAGAUUUAGACUUGGAGGAAGAAGAUGAUGCUUCUGAGGUAAGUAUACUUGAACUUAAAGAAAAGUUGCAUUUGUUUUCUAAAACAAAACUUAUUUCCUUGAUGAGUGCACUAAUUGAUGACUUUCAAGAAUCAACUUCUGAUAGGGAUGAGCUAUUCAACAGUCUUGCAAGAAUCAAAUUUGAUUUUAUUGAUUUAGAAGCUUGCAAGAACACUGUUGAACAGGAAAACUGCUCUCUCAAGAAACAGGUUGAGCAACUUGAUUAUUCUAAUAAUGAUCUUAAGUCUGAAGUUCUAAAAUUGACACUCUCUGAAAAAAGGAAAAAACACCAAGAGUAAAGAACAAUAAAAAGUUGAACUUUAAUUAGUCAAGUACAAAGAAGAGUGCAAUAAUGCAACAGAAAUGGUGAAUAAACUAAGUCAAGGAGUCUCUAAACUAAAACUUGACCUUGAAAGAGCAAACAGGUGGACAAAUUCCUCAAGAAUUNNNNNNNNNNNNNNNNNNNNNNNNNNNNNNNNNNNNNNNNNNNNNNNNNNNNNNNNNNNNNNNNNNNNNNNNNNNNNNNNNNNNNNNNNNNNNNNNNNNNNNNNNNNNNNNNNNNNNNNNNNNNNNNNNNNNNNNNNNNNNNNNNNNNNNNNNNNNNNNNNNNNNNNNNNNNNNNNNNNNNNNNNNNNNNNNNNNNNNNNNNNNNNNNNNNNNNNNNNNNNNNNNNNNNNNNNNNNNNNNNNNNNNNNNNNNNNNNNNNNNNNNNNNNNNNNNNNNNNNNNNNNNNNNNNNNNNNNNNNNNNNNNNNNNNNNNNNNNNNNNNNNNNNNNNNNNNNNNNNNNNNNNNNNNNNNNNNNNNNNNNNNNNNNNNNNNNNNNNNNNNNNNNNNNNNNNNNNNNNNNNNNNNNNNNNNNNNNNNNNNNNNNNNNNNNNNNNNNNNNNNNNNNNNNNNNNNNNNNNNNNNNNNNNNNNNNNNNNNNNNNNNNNNNNNNAGAGAUUCCAGCUAAGGAAUUUUGUUGACCGAGGGGAAGGUGUUAGGCACCCCUCGAUCCCGUGGUUCAACCACGGUCGCUUGGCAGAGCGUAUCGGCUAAAUUGACGUUACAAAUACAUAAACCACACAAAAGCACGCAAAAUAAUCAAACAAUAACAAAGCAAAACAAAACUGUAAAGUCCAGUCCAAUUAUUACAACCCGAAAUAAAAAUACUGAAAUAACCUACACUAGUCCUAAACCAUGCUUUACCCGAUGCCUCGGGCCUUGAUCAAGAGCAUACUUAGCGUACAAAAUCCUUCGGGGAAUUCCCCGUUGAGUAAAUACAAAUUACCUCGAGGCAUUCCCCGGUUAAAUAAAUACAUUUUCCAAAUACGAUAAACAAAACAUUCAACAAAUAUUCCAAUCAUUCCCACAUUACACCAAUCCUAAACUUGCCUACCCGAGCUUACUUUUUGCCUACCCGCUCGACAACAUACCGAAUUCAACAUCAACAAUGUAUCAAAAAUAUCAUAAUAUUUACUUGUAUCAAUUUUCGAUUCCCAUCCCCAAAUUUAUUUCAACCAACAUGAUUAAAUAAGUCUCAAUCAAAUCAACCACGGUAAUCGCGAUUUCUCCAACAUAAUAUCGAAACAUAUCACCAUAUCACAAUCAUCAAACAAACACUAACAACGAAGAUUCAAACCAAACACGCAACAAAUAAAUCAUCCAUACCCACAACAUCACAAAAAAAGGUCAAGAUAAAAUAAAGAUUCGGUAGAAGAAAUGGACCUCGAUGAAAUUGAUCCUUGUCGAUAAUAAAGAAAUCUAAAGGCCAAAAUACUCGACCGAAGAACCUCGAUUACGAUGAAUCCAACUCGGUAUAGGGAAAAACUAAUAGGACAACUUCAAAACCAGUGAGACAAACUUUGUUAUACGAAACCCAAACAAGAACGACGACGCAAAUUGAUAACGACAACUCGAAAUCCAAUAUCGACGACGAACCCAAGACCCCAACAAACAACCAGGAACCCAAAACCCAACGCAAAUUGAGCUCCGGUGAGUUUCGGUGACGACCAAAACAGUGAUUCAAGACGGAAGCUGGAAUCGAAUAAAACGAACAGUUUCGGCAACCAGUCGACGACGAACAGUGGAAGAAUGACUGGGAGAUGGCGGUGGUUCAAAUGGCGACGGGCUUUACUGUUUCGCCGGCGGAGUCGGCUGGUCUACUGGUGGUUGAUUCGUCCCAGCUGGCGGUCGAGGGAGAGGGGAAGAGAAGGCUAGCCGGUGCUGAGCUGGCCGGCGUCAGCCAUGGAUGUCGAUGGAGUCAUUGGUUGGUUGUCGGCGAAGUUCGUUGAGAGAGAGAGUGAGAGUCUAGAGAGAGAAGGAGAGAGUUCGGUCCUCCUUUGUUUUUUUUAUUGUGCCAGGAUCCCUGGCCGGCUGGCGGUGUUCGCCUGUGGUGGUGACUGUUUCGCCGGCGAUGGAAUGGUUCGCCAGUGGGUGGCGGCGAUAGAGAGUAUGGAUCGGGGAGAGAGAAUAAUGGUAUUUGGCCCCUUUUUUUGUUCGUAUAUGUUGAGGUUCCCCCCUUCUUUUUGUGUGUAUGUGUGUAUAUAUUGUAUUUUCCCCUUCCUGGUCCUUUUUUUUUGGACAAGAAAAAAAAGGGGGGGUGUGUGACGUGGGGUAAGGUUGGGUAGGGGUAGGGAGGUGGUUUAUUUUGAUUGGGUAGGUUGUUAGGAUAAGAUAGAAUUAGUUAGGAUAGGUUUUGUUAGGGAUUUUUUUUUUUUUGUAUUUUGUGAGGGGAUAAUAACAUGGGGGAGGGGACACGGGAGGAUAAAAUAAGAAUGGGUAAAAACGACAUUGGGAGGGACGAAAUUAGGUGUCUACAAAGACUUGUGCUAUAUCUAUGGAAACCUUGGACAUCCAACCACUGAAUGUCCAUUUGCUGUCAAAAGUAGAUCCAGCAGUCUAUAUCUGGCAAAUAAACUAUCUUAGACCAAGAAAAGGAUAGCUAAACCUGGUUAGAGAAACAGGUCACGUAACCUGUUGCCUGUAUGGGCUAGAAGAAAUCUGAUUCAUCCAUUUACUCAUAAGAAAGGACCCAAGCUUGUCUGGGUUCCUAAAGUUAACCCCUAAUUUGUUUUGCAGGUGAGAGUGAAAGGAGAAAAGAAAAAUUUAUGCAUAAAUAAAGCUUGCUCAAGGCAUAAGACUAGAAGAAAAUAAAGUUUCUUUCACUCACCACAUCUAAAGGGGAAUGGAUCAUUUGAAAGAUAGCCAGAUUUGUAGUGCUCAUGUAAGGGGGGAGCAAGGGAGAUUUAAAACAAAUAAAAAAGAGGAUGAGUGUGAAACUAAUGAGCAUGCACAGGAACAUGUUGUACCACUUGGUUCAACUGUUGUACAGACUGAGGCAUAUUGACAGGGGAAACAACAAAUCAAGAAAUUGAUGCAUCAAUAACACCAAUACAAGCUGAUGAUAAUUUUGUUGGUAAUUCAUAAGAAUUGGUGUUGUCACAAGAAUCUUGAGAUAUCUCAUGGGAAUCAAUGGCUUAAGACUAUGGUAUUCAAAUGAAAGUAAUUUCACUCUUGAGGGCUAUAAAAAUAUUGACUAUGUGGGUUACUUAAUUGACUGGAGAAGUACCAAAGGCACUAAAUAGAGAGCAUUUUGAAAGAAAUAGGUUAGACUUGGGAAUGAUUAAAAUUGCAUGAACUCCCCUCAAUGAUUGACUAGAAUAAUUAUUUUUCUUCUUAAUCUUAUUAGCUAAAAAGUUAUUCUAUUCAUUCUUGCACAUUUAGUUGUGAGUCCCAAUUCCAGAUUUUUGAUUUUUCUAACGUAAUUUGGUAUUAGAUUGUGCAGAAAAUAGGUACAAACAAGCAAUUGUGAACACAAAGUUCUUCUUAUCAGGUAUGUUCUACACUGACAUAAGCAUAGACUGUCUAAGUUGAAACAGUUGAGCACACCUGUCCAAUUCCACACACUUCAUCCUCUCAUUAUCUAAUAAAUCUAAUGAAUUGGUUGACCAAACUUUCUUUGAUUCUUUCCAAAUGGGUGUGCACAAAUGUGUUAAUCCUAUACCCGAAAUUUCUUCUUCUUUCUCAACCAAAAUAUUAGUUGUGUACCAUGGAUUUGCCAAGCUUGAUCAUCAAUCACAUGCAACAUAUGUUUCUGAAUAAUGAAAAGGGACAUGCUUUCCCUUUUAGUUCCUAAUUGGUUAUUUUUUUUAGGACUUCUCAGUCCUAAAUCAGGUUUGACUUAUAAACAAAAUAAAUGUUCUUGAACAGAUGGAUCAUGUUGCUCUACCUAUUUCAACAAGGAAGGCUAACACUCAUUUGAAAAAAAAAUUGAACUAGAAGCUGCACAAGACAAUCAUAAAGUGGAAUAAGAGAUCCUUAAGGCUAGGAUCAUAACCUUGAAGCUUGACCUUGAUUGAUAGAGGGAUAAAAAUGUUGAAGUCAUUCAUCAAUUGACACAGUUGAUAUCACCUGCUCCACCUUCCUCAUCAGCUCCUCACUAUUUGUAUCCUUAGUCAUGUCCCACUCAAUUAUUUUGCUUUGUUCAGUACUAGCUUAGGUUUAAUGUGGAACAUGCUCUGUCAGUUAAAUAGAAUGGUUAUCUUUGCUAAAUUGACUCAUUUUUGCUCUCUUUAAUACAUUACUAUGUUGGCUAGAGUCUUUAACUGAUUAUUUUGGUGAUAGCCCCAAUGACCAUGAAUAGCAUAACAAAUCACUUUGGCUAGUAUAUUAGUGCAUUAAAAUGAUUUUUCAAUAAUGCCAAAAGGGGGAAGAUAAUAGGGUUGUGCAAUGUUUAUAACCCAUUGACUAACUUAUUUUAUUCUAGUAUUUUAUAUUUUAGUGUCUACAGGUGAAGAUGGUUGAAUGCACAAGACUAGAGGUUUGUCAUCAUCAAAAAGGGGGGAUUUUUUGGGUACUAUGUAGUUUUGAUGAUUGACAAACUGACACAUGAAUGAAAUAUGUUACUUGAGCUGGUCCACGCAUAGAAAAACAGAUUUUCAAUUUCACUGAUAGAUGCAGACAAGAUUACUUAAAGACAAGAACGAAUAAGCAAGCCUAAUUCUAAUAUACUCGAGCUACUGAUCAUGUGGGGAAUAUAACAAGCUGAAUUUGAUUCAAACACUUAAUGAUAAAGGAAAGCAAUUUGAGUUGAAAAAGGAGUCCUAUGUGAAGAAGGAGUUUCACUUCUGAGUAUAUCUUGAAGAGUCCUAUGUGUGGGAGGAGAAAGAUUCUGAUAAAUAAACAUGUGCUAAUUUAAAAGAGUUGGAGUUUUAUUACAACACUAAGAAGACAAAAGUUGAACUAAAGAAAGAGUCUCACUUGAAGUAGAACUCUAUGUAAUGAGAGUUUUGAUUAAAGGAGGAGUUUAAAAUAAAGAAUGACUCUUUGGAGAGUUGUGCUUAGAUAGAAGAUGCAUCAUUCAGAUUAAUUCACGCACUUACAAAGAAGAAAAGCACAAUCGACAGAUUGACUUCACAAAGUGCUACUCAAUCACUGAAGAAACACAUUGAAGAACCUGGUCCUAAGUAUAGAAUCCAGCUAAGAGUUUUAGUGUUGAUUUUUAGAGUUAUUCAUUGUGUUUGAAUUAUUGAUGUAAUAUUAGUUUCAGUGUGUUAUAAACUGAAUUAAGAGCUAGUCUUCGAGUUGGGGAAAACUCAGAGACUUUGGAAAUGCAUACCUUGGGAGGUGUGUGUGUAGUUAGGAAUUAGAGUUUAUAAUUCCUAGUUGUUGAGUUAAAGGAAUUAGAGUUUAUAAUUCCUAGUUGUUGAGUUAUAGGGAUUACAGUUUAUAAUUCCUAUUUGUUGGUUACAAGAGUUUUGUAAUCAGUCGUUGUUGAGGCUCAGAGUUAUUUAGUGAAGUUAGGGUUAAAUCCUGUAGAGGUACAGGUCGUGGUUUUUUUACACCUUUUUGAGCCGGGUGUUUUCCACGUAAAAAUCAUUGUGUUCUUACUUUCUAUUUUACUGCUUCCUUGGAACAUGUCAGUGAAACACGUCGGACAACCCGUUUCAUCGAUAAGCAACAGUUAGCCGAAAAUAAGAUAAUUAGUAGGGCACGAACUCUAACAAUUGUGACACGGAGUGAGUAUGAAACUAAUUACAUUGUGAUUUUUGAACUCCAAAUUGACAACUGAGCAUAGUUAAUUAGUACUAAUGUUUGAUGACAACGACUUUUAAUAUAGUAAUAAUAGUAUCCUGAAACAAGUGAUGGUAUGUAUGACUACAUGAUUGUCAUAGUUAGUUGUCGAACAGUGUCAUUGCAUGUAUUGUCCCAGUUUGUCAUUGAGCAUCUACGAUAUUGUUUGAUCCAGGCUCUCUACUUAUUCUUUAUGUGUCUUAAUUCUUUGAAAUCAUAGAGGACUAAAGAGAUUUCUUAAGGAAUGAACCAGAGUACUUCUUCUAUGAUAUCCUUAUCAACAUAUAAUGGAGUAUAUAUUAUGUGAUCAUAGUAUACUGCAACAAUAUAUUUCAACUACUACUUAUUCGAUAUAUAAGUGGCACAUAGACUCCAUUACAUUAUUAUUUAGUUUUACAUCCAUGCAAUGGGACAAAGUACCCGCAUAUAUGCAUUAUUACAUUACAUAGAGUAGUAGAUCUAGGCAUAACAUGACGCCAUUCCAAUUCUAUCAUCCAGUUUGAACACAAAGGGCAUUGGCUUCUCUGAGAGAACCAAACGACGAUAUCCAUUUUGGCGGACGAAGCCAAUGUCUCUGCAAUAAGUAGUGCUUUCGAGACAGAACACUAGCUUAUACUUUCUAUCUGCUAUAUGCUUAAUUUGGAACCAACUGCUCACAUCGUUGGGAAUUCCCAACUUUGCACCUGUGCUUAUGGUGUGUAGAAUUGGUGGCCAUUUUGAUACAAGGUUGUCAACCUUCCACACAGCAAAGUUAGAACACAAAGGAUAAUCAAAAUAGAAAUGGAUGUUUAACGGAGAGGACGCCAAAAUCAAUUGAUAUUUAUUAGGAUUCUUAGGUGUAAAAUAAACCGCGAUACCAUCGUCUUUAGGAAGGUUCGAUAGUACUACUGAUGUAGGACAAGUAGUGGUUUGUUGUUGAUCAUCAAGAUUAGCAAGACGUACACCUCCAAUGUCCAUAGUGGUGUAGGCCGGACGUAUCCAGUACCUAUUGCUUGCGUUGAGGGGUUUGCCAUUAGUAUCGAGUACACCUAACCAUACUUGGUUGGUGGGAGUGUCAGUGGUGGCGCAAGUUGCCAGGGCUGACAAGGGAAGGAUUAUUGCAAGGGAAAGAAAGAGUAAUAUGGUCUUCAUCUUUAGGGACUUUAGUUUGUUUUGAUGAUUAUUUGUA
Molecule: long non-coding RNA, 11790 nt
Filed under: Capsicum annuum
Lineage: Eukaryota; Viridiplantae; Streptophyta; Magnoliopsida; Solanales; Solanaceae
Description: long non-coding RNA (CANN_LNC008945)
Source: RNAcentral